Molecule: long non-coding RNA, 2314 nt
Organism: Gasterosteus aculeatus aculeatus (three-spined stickleback)
Lineage: Eukaryota; Metazoa; Chordata; Actinopteri; Perciformes; Gasterosteidae
Source: Ensembl
GCCGAGUCGACCUUCAACCCGCCCAAAUCUGCCUAAUGAGAGCAACAGACCAACUGGACACAAGCAAAACAUUUCCUGGGGUGUGAUUGUGAAGGGAGAGCCUUAUUGGAGCCCUUUGAAGCGGAGGGAGAGUGGACGGUGAGAGCCGGCUGCUUGGGCUUUUUAGGGUCGUCUGUGCGGGCGAGGCUAUUUCGAGUCACAAUAGUCGGAGGAAACGUGCUUAUAAAUGUUUCAAGAAGGGUGCAGCAUCUUAGGACGCGAGACAGAGAGCGGUGCAGAGCAGUGGCGUGCUGUCCUCUGCUGCAUUACGUUGUUUGUCAGGCCCAACGCGGAAAUCUGCAGCGACUUACAAAUGAUGCAUUCAACCAAGAGGCGACGAAGCCAGAACGACAAGGAAACCUCAUCAGACCCAAAGCAUCUCAACGUGUUCCUGUAUAUCAUUUAUUUUCCGCCCGAGACUUUGCAUGAGCUUGCGUGUCACCAUUUUUUAAGCACUUCGGCACUUGGCUAUGGGUGGUGUUGGCCGGGCUUCCUGUUUUUCUCCAGCUCCGCGUAAGCUUCACCUGCACCACAAACCUUAACCUCCCCGAGUUCUCACUUGUCGGACUCUUAUGAGUCCGAGCUCCUUCCUCUUCAUUGUGUCUGCUGGAGGUUUGGCUUAGUUUUCUUUCACGUUGUGUUUUGCAUUCUGACAGCUUGGUUCCUUUCUCACCUGCAGAUUACAGACCGAGUUGAAACAGACAGUAGACCAGAUGGACAGAUAGUCCAACACACAAAAAAAAGCUACCCUCUCUCGCCAGGUUUGGUGGAGUAAGAUGAGGAAGGCAGCAGAGGGACAGAGCAGCCGGUGGAGCAGACAGACGCUUCGGUCCGGCAUCCGCAGACCUCCUCGCGGCAGCACUCCCAUACGCAUACGCUAAUGCUGCAGCAGCAGCCUGUGGGCUGCCGUCCAGUGUUGUGUGCUGUGUGUGCGGUUCAGUUCAGAGGGGUUUUCAUGUGCAUGUCUGCUGCAUUUGUGUCAUGGGAAAAAUAUUUAUGAAAUCCCCUUGGCGUCCUUCGAGGUUAAAGAAAAGGCUGGAUCACAAAAACAGGGCAAAACACUACAGAGAGGACAACUAUGUCCUAAAGGCUUAGUGGUGAAUUUUAAGUUUAAGGAAUAUUUACCAUUGAAAAUAUUUUUACCUGGCAGGAUAAUUAUCCUGCUGUACUUUGAUAAUCCUAUAUACAAUUUGUGUAGCAAAACCUUUGUCUUUAUGUAUUGCUCUCAGCUUGAUGGUUUCUCAUUCUGGUAUCAGGAGUGAAAAGACGCCCUGGCCUUGUGUAAUUCGUUCCAUCAUCCAUCCAUUUGAUAACACAAAUAAAGAACGCGAGUAAAGGAAAUCAGUUGCACCGCAAAAAUACAGCCUGCGUUUGGUUUGGUCCCAACGUUGCUUUGCUUCACAUGUAAGCACUGUCCAAUUAUUCUCUAUUGACUUUAUAGAUGUUACUUUAAAAUAAAUGUCAUACUCACAGAAAUAUGGGAAUAUGCUUCUUGUUUUGUAUUAUAAAGUGUAUAUAUAUGUAUGUAUCCACCUAGCAGACAUCGAGGGGCCACGGCAUUCCUCGGACAAAAAAUAUCUGCAUCUAAAUGUUCAGCAGCUAAUUGAAGCUGGAGUUUACACUAUAACACUCUACUCUUGUAUUCUUAGGCUACUUGGUUCCUCGUACAUCUCCCAGUGAUUCCUCUUUCAUUUCCUUGAUGGUCUCGUUCAGGGACGUCUAUCCUUUUAGCAGCUGUACUGAACACGUGUCUCCAUCCAAUGGCACAAUGAAACAAUUACAUCGUGAGCCGAUCCUAUUACCUCGCUGCCGUCCCUUUAAAUAUGGUUUCAGUCACCUUGUUACUCACCUCACCAUCUUCACAGGACCAUCAGCUCCAUCACCUCAUGGUGGAGAUUUCUCACACUGCCGCUGGAGGCAGCAGCACCUUGAUUACAAAGCGCCAAAGACUCCGUGAAGACUUUAUCAUCACGUAUCAGCUGCCAAUUAGAAACAAUGACUGUUUCUGACUUUUCUCUCCUGAUUAAAUUGCGUGUUUGCUGUUCAGUUCAAGUACAUCACACACUUCUUCACAAACUGGUGAUGAACGUCUUGCUUUCAGUUACUUCGCUCUUCACAGCAGAUCUCAUAUUUAUGUUGCUGAAGCCUUCUCCGCCUCCAACACAUGAAGGGUAUACAUAAAUAUGUCUCAGAAGAAGUAGAAAAAAAUGAUCACAGUAAGAUAUCUCUGUACUGUUAAAUAUAGAUAAACUGGCCAUGUGUGGGUGAAUUCAAC